UACGAAGGGUGCAAGCGUUAAUCGGAAUUACUGGGCGUAAAGCGUGCGCAGGCGGCUUCCUAAGUCAGAUGUGAAAUCCCCGGGCUUAACCUGGGAACUGCGUUUGAAACUGGGGGGCUAGAGUGCGGCAGAGGGGGGUGGAAUUCCACGUGUAGCAGUGAAAUGCGUAGAUAUGUGGAGGAACACCGAUGGCGAAGGCAGCCCCCUGGGCCUGCACUGACGCUCAUGCACGAAAGCGUGGGGAGCAAACAGG
This 253-nucleotide ribosomal RNA is filed under the name uncultured bacterium. RNAcentral's name for it is "partial 16S ribosomal RNA". It matches the Rfam family "Bacterial small subunit ribosomal RNA", at positions 524 to 776 of the family's 1533-position model. The record is from RNAcentral.